GACGAACGCUGGCGGCGUGCCUAAUACAUGCAAGUUGAGCGCUGAAGGUUGGUACUUGUACCAACUGGAUGAGCAGCGAACGGGUGAGUAACGCGUGGGGAAUCUGCCUUUGAGCGGGGGACAACAUUUGGAAACGAAUGCUAAUACCGCAUAAAAACUUUAAACACAAGUUUUAAGUUUGAAAGAUGCAAUUGCAUCACUCAAAGAUGAUCCCGCGUUGUAUUAGCUAGUUGGUGAGGUAAAGGCUCACCAAGGCGAUGAUACAUAGCCGACCUGAGAGGGUGGUCGGCCACAUUGGGACUGAGACACGGCCCAAUCUCCUACGGGAGGCAGCAGUAGGGAAUCUUCGGCAAUGGACGAAAGUCUGACCGAGCAACGCCGCGUGAGUGAAGAAGGUUGUCGGAUCGUAAAACUCUGUUGGUAGAGAAGAACGUUGGUGAGAGUGGAAAGCUCAUCAAGUGACGGUAACUACCCAGAAAGGGACGGCUAACUACGUG
This 497-nucleotide ribosomal RNA is filed under the name uncultured bacterium. RNAcentral describes it as "partial 16S ribosomal RNA". It matches the Rfam family "Bacterial small subunit ribosomal RNA", at positions 28 to 507 of the family's 1533-position model. The record is from RNAcentral.